AAUGAGACCUUUCAGCAUCAAGAUGCCAUGUGGUUUUAAUGAAAUCUGACAGGUAUCAGCUUUGGUGGUGAAUUUGGAUGUGCUGCUGGUAGUUGGUGCUUGCUGAAACCGAUCCAGAACGAAGCAACAUUUUUAUAGUGAUGAAAUGACUUCAGGCUUUGUCCUUAAGGGAUGAGAGAAGCACCUCAACAAAAGAGAGCAAAUGACUAGUACAGUUGACCUUUUCAGCCUUUGGAUUCUGAGUGCAUCUGACUCGACCAGACAGGUCUGGGGAAGAGAAAAAUUAACAGCAGAUGGAUUUAUGAAAAGAGGUUCCUUUGUUGGAGAGCAUGUUGCUGUGACAGUGAUAUCUGUAGAUGAUUUGUGA
Molecule: long non-coding RNA, 367 nt
Filed under: Meleagris gallopavo (turkey)
Lineage: Eukaryota; Metazoa; Chordata; Aves; Galliformes; Phasianidae
Description: lncRNA (ENSMGAG00000019053.1)
Source: RNAcentral